Molecule: non-coding RNA, 1963 nt
Organism: Callorhinus ursinus (northern fur seal)
Lineage: Eukaryota; Metazoa; Chordata; Mammalia; Carnivora; Otariidae
Source: RefSeq, a predicted model, not a curated record
CUGGAUUGCAGUGGAAUAGAAUAACAAAGAAACCCAGUUCAUUCCUCAACUGAGCACUGGUCUACAAAAGCAACAAAGAAAAGGUAAAGUUUUAUCUUCAUAAAUCUAAAAUAUCACCAGGAACUAAAGCUGAGCAUCCACUCACAGAUGCUUAAAUUGUUGUAGGAGCACCAAUACCUAAUUCAUUAAAGUCAGAGGAAACUUAAAAGAAUAGAUGCUUGUUUUUCUCCCAGUAUUGCCCUGAUGAAAAACGGUGCCCCAAAUAGCUUAAAAACGACUUUAAGAUACUAAGUGAAGAUUUUCUUCCUGCAGUACUUAUUUCUUUAACCUGUGCAUUUAUAUUUGGCAGGUUUAAUAGCAUCACUUAGUGACUACAGAAAAUAUCUUGGCUUUGACUGUUAGAAAGUUAGCUGUUCACAGAAAUGUUUAGAGUUGGCAAUCUCAAGUAGAUAAGAUAAAUUCUUCCAAGGAGAUUACACCUUGCUGUAAUUAUGUACAUAAUACACCUAGGUAUGGGUUUCCUCAAACAUGGUACUAUAUUCACAAAGGUCAAAGGCAUCAGGACUGCACUCCCUCUGAGCCCACCCACCAUGAGGCCAGCACAAGCCACAUGAACUGCAGCCACAUUCCAUGGGUCUAUCGGCAAUGACCUCCAACUCAUCUACUCUGUAUUUCAGCUACAGAGAGUUCAGCAUGUCUCCCUGAUCUGUCAAGGGGUAGGCGGCCCAGAUAACUGGAUAUUUAUAUUCUUCUUGUCAGUGAUAUCAAAGACUGUAAGUAGAAUUAUCAACUACUAAGCCCAUUUCUAAACUGUUUGAAUGUUCUGUGACUUCUUUAGAGACACGUUAACCUUUACUCUUAUUCUUCAUUUUUCUCUUUUUAGUUUUGAAUGCCUUAUCAGACAGCUCAGCUCCUCCACCCCAGAAGGAACAGGGCUGGGGUGAGGUCAGGGAUUCACAUUUCAACCAUGUGCAAGAUACUCCUAAGUGUUUAAAUGUGUUUUCAUUUAUUCUUCCUAACAAGAAGGUAGGCAUUACCCCCAUUUUACUGAUGAGGGAACUAAGGCUCAGAGGAGUUAAGUGAUUUACCCGCCACCACCUAGAAAGGACCUGGCAGAGACGGUCCUGGAGUUUAGGUCUCCCUGAUUUCAAGGGUCUGCCCUUUUUAUGGUCCCUCGUUGGCUCCCCAAUUACUGUAACUAUUAGUUGCCAAAAAAGUUAGAGGAGGACUUUAGGAUAGGUUCAUAGUCUCUGUGCUUCAGUUCUUAAUACUGUGGCUUCAUUAUUUUAUUUGAACUGCAUAUCCAGGGCAUCACACAUCUAUACUCAAUUCUAAAUAUAAAAAUGCACUAUUAAAUUUAACUGGUAUAUUUUUUCAUCAAUGCAAAUAAUGAAAAGGGGCCUUUAUCUGGAAUAUACCCAACAGGCAUGCAACCUUAUAUGUAAGGUUAUCUCUCCCCUCAAAUAUCACCCACUAAAUUUCCCAAAGGCAGGGAUGGGAUUAUAUUUUUUAUUUAUUUUGCAUAUGCCACAGCUCUUUGUACAUUCUGUGUUCUCCAGUAAUCUAUGUAUUUUUGAGAAAAAAUAUUUUCAUUUAUAAAGGAAGGUUAUAAGUCAGGAAAUGUUAACAGAUUUCCUUAGUACUACACAAUCAACACCAACAGACCUUGUGUGCUUAAAGGUCAGACACAGCUGGAAAGGUACUCCGCGUCCUGAAAGCUCCUGAUACCCAUCACUUACUCCAAUGGUUUUGAAGCCUCUAUCCUUCCUACCGCUCCGGCCUCUAUUUGCUACUAUUGCUCCAAAGUGCUUACUACCUAGCAGCUGGUCUUAUAAAGAUUUGCUGCAUGAAAUAUGACAAUUUCCAUAGAAGGAAAUAAUCUGAACUUAUUUGUAAUGGAACUUCACUUUUGACAAAUUCUUUUUCAGUACAAAUACAUUAAAACGUGGCAGGGAUAGCGAAC